UACGUAGGGGGCAAGCGUUGUCCGGAUUUAUUGGGCGUAAAGAGCGUGUAGGCGGCCAGGCAGGUCCGCUGUGAAAACUCGAGGCUCAACCUCGAGAGGUCGGUGGAAACCGUCUGGCUAGAGUCCGGAAGAGGAGAGUGGAAUUCCCGGUGUAGCGGUGAAAUGCGCAGAUAUCGGGAGGAACACCUGUGGCGAAGGCGGCUUUCUGGGCCCUACCUGACGCUGAGACGCGAAAGCGUGGGGAGCGAACCGG
This 253-nucleotide ribosomal RNA is filed under the name uncultured bacterium. Its description in RNAcentral is "partial 16S ribosomal RNA". It matches the Rfam family "Bacterial small subunit ribosomal RNA", at positions 524 to 776 of the family's 1533-position model. The record is from RNAcentral.